Molecule: ribosomal RNA, 253 nt
Filed under: uncultured bacterium
Lineage: Bacteria
Description: partial 16S ribosomal RNA
Rfam family: Bacterial small subunit ribosomal RNA
Source: RNAcentral
UACAGAGGGGGCAAGCGUUGUUCGGAAUUACUGGGCGUAAAGGGCGCGUAGGCGGCCCGCUAAGUCGAACGUGAAAUCCCCGAGCUCAACUCGGGAACUGCGUCCGAUACUGGCGGGCUUGAAUCCGGGAGAGGGAUGCGGAAUUCCAGGUGUAGCGGUGAAAUGCGCAGAUAUCAGGAAGAACACCCGUGGCGAAGGCGGCUCUCUGGGACGGUACUGACGCUGAGACGCGAAAGCGUGGGGAGCGAACAGG